UAAAAACCUUAAAUUGUCCCCAAUGUCUGCUUCAAAUUGGAUGGCACUGCAGCUGGAGGCUUUGUUCAGAAUUGAUCCUGGGGAGCUACGAACCCAAAGUUUCACAGUAGGAAGGGGGAAAAAAGAAAAGAAAACAUUUUUCCUAAUGUAACAAUGCGAAUGCUAGAAAAUGACAAGACUGAUCGGUUUUAAACCAUUCUGAAGACUGACUGAGCGUGGAAGUUGCUCAACAAAAAAAGGAACGGGUAUAUUGAGGACAGACAAGCACCACUGUGGAGGACAAGCACCAUUGGGGAGGCAGUUAGAGUCUAGUGGCGGCGGGGGACUUUAGAGUCAGACUGCUGAAAAAUCUUCAUUGCUGAGACAAAGGAAAACCCACUCCCUUGGAGGAGCAUGACCUUUUCCUGUAUUGCUUCCCACUGCUGUUGUUGAGCUCCUUGGACCCUGACUCCUGGACACCAUCAUCAAGAAGACUUUAUGGAUGGGCUAUCCACCCACUGAGAGAAGAGGAGCAUCAGCUACAGUUUCUCUCUAGAUUGCCUUCUUCAUUUUGAGUAAUGACUGUCAGCAGGGUCAGAUUAAAGACAAAACAACUGGACAAUUGCUUGGAGGACUAAACUAUAAGGGCACUAACAUAUCAAUAGUAUGCUAACACAUCCAUGGAAAAUAUAUUUACCAGCCCUUCUCUCAGGGAGGAGUCUGUGUGGGGUUGGAAGGAAUAGUCUGUUAAAUUCCUUAGGGGUAGAAAGUAGGGCAUACUCAGAAUGUAGAGGAGCAUGCUGUUUGACUUCAGGGUUUCUGUUUUUCUUACUAGGAUAUAUAAAACAAGGACUCUGGCUAGAUUGUUUAUGACCACAGAGGGUAGGCUGAGUGCUCCCAUGAUCUUCCUGCUUGAUUCUUGCCCCUACAGACCUCAGCCUUUCCUCUAAUAAAGAUUGAACAAGUAGUGGUCUGAGGGAGACACCAAUUCAUUACCCUACAUGUCUCUUCUUUGCACUCUAGGGCUUUGAUAAUAAAGACACUGGCAGACUACCUAUCUUCCAUUUCUAUAAUGUGAGCCCUUAGGGAGUCUUCGUUCACUUGCGGGUGACAGUCAUUGCUUACAGAGUAGUUCAAGUCAAAUGGAACUUGAACUCUUUGCUUAUGGGCCUGGUGGUCAGACUCUGUGUUGAGUUCAUUAGAUUAUUGGAAACACAAGGUAGAGCUGGGCCCUUCAAAAAUAUUUGGCUGAAGGAUGACAUUGCUGGUUAUUUGUAGAUAAAGCCAUCAUGGAACAUGCUUGGAAUUAUGAAAUAUGGAACUGGUGGUCAUGUUUAAUAAUACAACUAAUAGUUAAGUAACUACUGGAUACUGUAGAGACUUAGAAGCAAGACAGACAUGGUUCCUGCCCCCAUGGAGCUUACACUGUAGCUUUCCCUUAGGUAUGAAAAACAGUGGCUACAACUAAUAAAUGGUCAUAAAGAUAUCAUUGAGCCAGUGUUCCAGUUAUUAGAAUAAUUCCUAUUUCCUUAAUCAUGCCUAUUGAUCAUGUUCUAUAAGCCUGCAUUCUAUAAAUGGCCUGUAAGCAUGGGCUGUUUCCCCCCAGCAAGUUGUACAAAGUUCUGUGGUACCAGGCAAAGGGCUUAAGGUUAGCAGGGUCUCUGGGGAAGGACAUAUGAAGUGACUUGGGUCAGGAAACAGGAAGGGAUAGGUUUCAAGAACAGCUAUCGCUUCUGUUCUAUAUAGAAAACUGCAGGAUGAAAAAUGCUGGGCCCCAGCAUUUUUGAGACCUGGGUGUUAGUUUGUGUUCUAAUACUAACAAGCUAUGUGACUGUGGGUAAGUCAUUUCACAUUCCACUUGGAUGCCUCUUGAGUAACUCCAGGCCUCUCCAGCUCUAAAACAUUAAGAUCAGGCCCUAUGCUACAGCUGGCCUUAUGUAAUUCUCCUGUUUCUACACUGUUAGGUCAAAUCAAUCUUCAAUAGUUUCUUGAUUGUUGUUACUUUUUUCUGAAGCGGGUGUUUUACCAGUGUUUCAGGAUACAGUGAGUCUGCUUCUUCCCUUUGGAGUUAGGAAGGUUGUAGCAAUAUACACUGUAGAGCUUAUGGAAGCUUUUUUCCUUCCUUUUUUCCCCCUUACCUUUCUCCCGCUCCUUCCCUUCCUCAAACAUUUCUAUUGAGCAUAUACCAUUGCCAUGUACCAGGUGUGUGCUAGGUUUGGAGAUACAAGGUAAACCUGAGAGUUUCCCAGACUCCAGGAGACAAAACCCUUAUUUCUUUCAUCUGCUGGCUUUCUCUUUGGAAAGAAUCAACGAUGUCCCAGGGGAGUGUGCCCAUGUCCCAGGGUAACCAACUACAGACAGAUGCCCCAUUCUACUCAAGCAACUUUUAGAGUGCCUUGAGAUACACAUCAGUUAAUUAUUCGGGGCUGGGCAUGAUGCUGUACACCUGUAGUCACAGCACUUUGGGUGGCUGAGGCAGCAGAUUGCUUGAGCUCAGGAAUUCAAGACUAGACUAGAGAACAUGGCAAAACCCCAGCUCUACAAAAACAUACAAAAAUUAGCUGCGUGUGGUGGCCCCUGACUAUAGUACAAGCUACUCAGGAGACUGAGGUGGGAGAAUUGCUUGAGCCUGUGAGGUCGAGACUGCAGUGAGCUGAGAUCAUGCCAUUGCACUCCAGCCUGGGUGACAUAGGGAGACCCUGUCUUAAAAAAAAAAAAAAAAAAAAGAUAAUCAUUCAGUCCUAGUGUCAUUGUGAAAAGAUCUGUCUUCAGAUAUAAGGAAGAAAUAAUCUUUUAUUUCUUAGGAUAAAUCUGUAGAAGGACCUCCAGACAGUGAAGGCCACUGACUACUUUAUACUCUGUAACCCAUCCCUUCCCUGGUAGGAAGGACUACUUUCUAAACUUACAAAGUACCUCUCAGCAAAUAGACAUUUUUAUGUAUACUGUGAUUCUUACAUCCCUAUGGGUGGUGACUUCUUUAAAAAGGAAAGGAAAAAGCCUAAUCAGACAAAAAGAUGUUGCUAUUAAUUCUUACCCUAUUGUGAAUCCUAUAUAAGCAAAUUUGUAUCUAUGUUUUUUCCAACAUUAGCAGAUCUAUUUGAUGUAUAUCUCUGAGUGUAGAAAAUAUUUUAUGGAAAAAUCAAUCUAUGGAAUUUCAAAUUCGGAAUUGCUGAUACACACUAUUUGGUUUCAGAAUUUUAUCCUAGGACAUAGUAUUAGGGAUUUCAAUUUCUGGCUUAAAUGGUAGCAUUAAUUACUCUUAACUCUUAAUUUUACUUCUGAGUUGAGGUCAAGGAACAGGCAGACACCUCCAGUUAACGUCUAUACCUCUCCAUGGCCAAGAACUUUAAUUUUCUCGUUUUCAGUUUUGUAGAUGUACAUCGUUACUAAAUGGAUUGAUUAGUAUUUUAUCUCCUCUCCUUGUCCUUACUUUCCCUCUGGUAAAUAUGUUAUAAACAGUGUAAGGCUCAUAAGAUAGAAUAGCUGGUAGGACUUAGAAGAGAAACAUAAUUCACAUAAAUGGAAAUAACUCAAAUAACUGGAACUUAGGAGAGAAACUGGACUAAGAAGAGAAACAUAACUCACAUGAAUGGAAAAUUGGCCCUGGAAUAAUUGACAACAUAUUCAAGUAUUUUAGUUCAGUGUCACUCUCAUUAAGAAGAAGAGAAUCAGUAAAUCUAUGUGACUCUAAACAUUUUAAUGAAAAGAGGACUAUUCUGUCAAUCAUCUCACAUUUUAAAAUAUCUGAAUAUUGGCCAUUGUAAAGACAAAACAUACAGAUGAUGGACUUGUCUUUCUACCUCUCAUUUGCAUGGUUUGGAGCAUUGUACCUCCAGCCAUUGACUCUAAGGCAAUUUAUAUUUGCUUCCUCUUCCCUCUUGAGAGAAAACAAAAAUCUUAUUUUUCCAAGCAAUUAAAACUCUUCUGCUUCAGCUAGGAUGAAAGAAUUAGGAGUUAUGUCUCCUUGUAUCUAAUUGCAUGUUUCAUCUUUCUUGUUUUAAUGAUUGACAGAAAACUAAUAAACUGAGACAUCUUUGAAUCAAGGUUGAAUGUACUCUCUUGGUGGCCCCAUUGCUAAUUUGUUUGACUAUUUUGCAGGAUUUCUUACUCUGUAAUGGAAAGGUUUAUUAAAUAUGAGGGGUGCAAAGCUUUCUGAAUACUAAUGAACUUAUUUGCCAAAAUUUAAAUGUUCUUCUUGUCAGUGAAUGUCUGUCUCUCUUAACAGGAUCCAAAUUGAAUAAUGAAGAAAAUUAGACUCUAUUGUACCCUCAGGAGAAAUCGUGGUGAAUCGUAAUAGAAUACAGAGGGGGAAAGGGGUCACAUUAUAGAAAAAAAGAGUAGAUAAUUUGGAUUAUUAAAAAAGGGAUUAACUCAGGAAAACUAUUCUUUUCAAAGAAAUGUACUAAUCAUCAUUCAGUGAGCAGGAUUUCCCACUGCACAAGCAUCUAUACCUUUGGCCAGUGUAGAAUGAGAGUAAGGUCAUAAUCAUAUGGAGAUGCAUGCUAGGUUUCAGCGGUUACAAUUUACUAACCUCAUUCCCAUAUGAGACUUUUAUAUGCCGUGAUGGAAUGGGAAAAUCAAUAAGCUUGGAAAAGGAGCACUCUUCUUCAGGGAAGUUCAAUGGGAGAUAGGUUGAGUUGGGGAAAUUGUCCCAGUUCUUCCUUUAAGCAUGAAAUGAGGCUGUCCCUUUGUAUAUUUGCUUCCAUUGUCUUGGUGUUAUCACUGAUAAAGUCAGUGAUCAUGAUGCCUUUGCCUUGGCAGCACCUGGGGGCACUGGAGGAGCCAGGUAGCUGUACUCGUGGCCAGGAAGGCAGGCUGCCAGAACUUCAGCAGCCACACAAGUGGCCAAACAUGGUCAGGAACCAAAGUAGUGUGUGUAUGGAGUGAAAUGAAGUGAUGAGGGGAAAGUGAAGGAGGAUAUAAAGGUGGGGUUGUCCAAAGAUGGGAGUUCAUCCCUGUCCUGCACUUGAAAUAGGAAGGCAUGGGCUGGAAGAGGAUUAGGUGAGGAAGGAUCCCGAAGUAGAGAAAAUAAAGGGAAGACUGCAUGCCUUCAGUGUUUGCUAAAAUUAAUUUACCUGAGAUUUCAGGAGGAGGAAAGAAAGAUCAAGAGAAAGGGAAAACAGCCUCAAAGCCUGUGAAAGUUGAAAAACACAAUAUAAACAAAAAUUUUUUAAAGCUAAAAUUAUGCUCUUCUAAGAAAAGAGGCUGGACACUAACGGAAAGCUUGAUGACAGCAGGAUUUGUAUUUAGUGGUUUAUUUAGAUCCCUAAGAGAAAAGGCUUAUGUGACAUAGAUUCGUAAGAUACAAAUGUGUCUUUGGCUGACUAUGAUACCAGGCUUCACUCCCAAAGGAGAAAAGGAGUGGUCAGCGCAUCUCAGAUUAACACCAACCAACUGUGCAGUAUUUCAUUUGAGAAUGCAUUUCGUUGUAUUAUCCAUGAUUAAAUAAAAAGAGACCUAGUGUA
Non-coding RNA from Macaca mulatta (Rhesus monkey), 5444 nucleotides. The record is from RefSeq and is a predicted model, not a curated record. Lineage: Eukaryota; Metazoa; Chordata; Mammalia; Primates; Cercopithecidae.